CUUUCUUGCUGACGAGUGGCGGACGGGUGAGUAAUGCUUGGGAAUCUGGCCUAUGGAGGGGGGAUAACGACGGGAAACUGUCGCUAAUACCGCGUAUUAUCGGAAGAUGAAAGUGCGGGACUGAGAGGCCGCAUGCCAUAGGAUGAGCCCAAGUGGGAUUAGGUAGUUGGUGGGGUAAAGGCCUACCAAGCCUGCGAUCUCUAGCUGGUCUGAGAGGAUGACCAGCCACACUGGAACUGAGACACGGUCCAGACUCCUACGGGAGGCAGCAGUGGGGAAUAUUGCGCAAUGGGGGGAACCCUGACGCAGCCAUGCCGCGUGAAUGAAGAAGGCCUUAGGGUUGUAAAGUUCUUUCGGUAUUGAGGAAGGUUGAUGUGUUAAUAGCACAUCAAAUUGACGUUAAAUACAGAAGAAGCACCGGCUAACUCCGUGCCAGCAGCCGCGGUAAUACGGAGGGUGCGAGCGUUAAUCGGAAUAACUGGGCGUAAAGGGCACGCAGGCGGUUAUUUAAGUGAGGUGUGAAAGCCCCGGGCUUAACCUGGGAAUUGCAUUUCAGACUGGGUAACUAGAGUACUUUAGGGAGGGGUAGAAUUCCACGUGUAGCGGUGAAAUGCGUAGAGAUGUGGAGGAAUACCGAAGGCGAAGGCAGCCCCUUGGGAAUGUACUGACGCUCAUGUGCGAAAGCGUGGGGAGCAAACAGGAUUAGAUACCCUGGUAGUCCACGCUGUAAACGCUGUCGAUUUGGGGGUUGGGGUUUAACUC
RNAcentral lists this ribosomal RNA (762 nucleotides) under uncultured Haemophilus sp. Its description in RNAcentral is "bacterial SSU rRNA". It matches the Rfam family "Bacterial small subunit ribosomal RNA", at positions 80 to 839 of the family's 1533-position model. The record is from RNAcentral. Lineage: Bacteria; Pseudomonadati; Pseudomonadota; Gammaproteobacteria; Pasteurellales; Pasteurellaceae.